RNAcentral lists this ribosomal RNA (1439 nucleotides) under Salmonella enterica subsp. enterica serovar Poona. RNAcentral's name for it is "bacterial SSU rRNA". It matches the Rfam family "Bacterial small subunit ribosomal RNA". The record is from RNAcentral. Lineage: Bacteria; Pseudomonadati; Pseudomonadota; Gammaproteobacteria; Enterobacterales; Enterobacteriaceae.
GCUGCUUUGCUGACGAGUGGCGGACGGGUGAGUAAUGUCUGGGAAACUGCCUGAUGGAGGGGGAUAACUACUGGAAACGGUGGCUAAUACCGCAUAACGUCGCAAGACCAAAGAGGGGGACCUUCGGGCCUCUUGCCAUCAGAUGUGCCCAGAUGGGAUUAGCUUGUUGGUGAGGUAACGGCUCACCAAGGCGACGAUCCCUAGCUGGUCUGAGAGGAUGACCAGCCACACUGGAACUGAGACACGGUCCAGACUCCUACGGGAGGCAGCAGUGGGGAAUAUUGCACAAUGGGCGCAAGCCUGAUGCAGCCAUGCCGCGUGUAUGAAGAAGGCCUUCGGGUUGUAAAGUACUUUCAGCGGGGAGGAAGGUGUUGUGGUUAAUAACCGCAGCAAUUGACGUUACCCGCAGAAGAAGCACCGGCUAACUCCGUGCCAGCAGCCGCGGUAAUACGGAGGGUGCAAGCGUUAAUCGGAAUUACUGGGCGUAAAGCGCACGCAGGCGGUCUGUCAAGUCGGAUGUGAAAUCCCCGGGCUCAACCUGGGAACUGCAUUCGAAACUGGCAGGCUUGAGUCUUGUAGAGGGGGGUAGAAUUCCAGGUGUAGCGGUGAAAUGCGUAGAGAUCUGGAGGAAUACCGGUGGCGAAGGCGGCCCCCUGGACAAAGACUGACGCUCAGGUGCGAAAGCGUGGGGAGCAAACAGGAUUAGAUACCCUGGUAGUCCACGCCGUAAACGAUGUCUACUUGGAGGUUGUGCCCUUGAGGCGUGGCUUCCGGAGCUAACGCGUUAAGUAGACCGCCUGGGGAGUACGGCCGCAAGGUUAAAACUCAAAUGAAUUGACGGGGGCCCGCACAAGCGGUGGAGCAUGUGGUUUAAUUCGAUGCAACGCGAAGAACCUUACCUGGUCUUGACAUCCACAGAACAUUCCAGAGAUGGAUUGGUGCCUUCGGGAACUGUGAGACAGGUGCUGCAUGGCUGUCGUCAGCUCGUGUUGUGAAAUGUUGGGUUAAGUCCCGCAACGAGCGCAACCCUUAUCCUUUGUUGCCAGCGGUCCGGCCGGGAACUCAAAGGAGACUGCCAGUGAUAAACUGGAGGAAGGUGGGGAUGACGUCAAGUCAUCAUGGCCCUUACGACCAGGGCUACACACGUGCUACAAUGGCGCAUACAAAGAGAAGCGACCUCGCGAGAGCAAGCGGACCUCAUAAAGUGCGUCGUAGUCCGGAUUGGAGUCUGCAACUCGACUCCAUGAAGUCGGAAUCGCUAGUAAUCGUGGAUCAGAAUGCCACGGUGAAUACGUUCCCGGGCCUUGUACACACCGCCCGUCACACCAUGGGAGUGGGUUGCAAAAGAAGUAGGUAGCUUAACCUUCGGGAGGGCGCUUACCACUUUGUGAUUCAUGACUGGGGUGAAGUCGUAACAAGGUAACCGUAGGGGAACCUGC